This 792-nucleotide ribosomal RNA is filed under the name Triticum aestivum (bread wheat). Its description in RNAcentral is "partial small subunit ribosomal RNA". Lineage: Eukaryota; Viridiplantae; Streptophyta; Magnoliopsida; Poales; Poaceae. The record is from RNAcentral.
AUGCGUGCGGGAACUCGCGGAGGUGGGCGCAUGCUGUGGCGCGGUGGUGCUCGGGGGUGGUCAGCGGCAGCUCAGGCAUGGGCUUCAUGUCGCCGUUGGCGGCCGUCCCUGGCCGGAUCCGUGGGCCUCGCGCCCGGAUCUGUGGGCUGGCGGUGGUUGCAGGGAGAUGGAGGUGGUGCAGUGGGGUGGCUGGAUAUUCCCCUUUUGGCGGCUGGUUCUUGCUGCUCCGCGAGAGGGCGCUGGAUUUGGACGCCGGAUGCUUCAGUGCGACGUGGAGUUGGUUCCAGCCUCUGGUGGCUCACAAGUGGUUGGGCCAUGGGCGGUGGCGGGGCUGCCAUGGCCCUCUUCGUCGGCUGGUGCAGUGGGUGUGUGGCAGCAGCAAAAAAGAAAAGGAAAAUGACUGAUCUCAAUGAGUUGCCUCCUGAUCUCAAUGAGAUUCCUCAUGAUGUGGAUCAACAACAACCCAGCGUACCACCAGGAGCUAAUGCUGAUUAUGAGACAGAAAAUGGGCGCUCUGUUUACUACACGCAGAUAACCCGUGUGCCUAACCCUAUAGGCCAUGACAAUGUGGUAGGGCAGUUAUCAACCCGUGGUGCUCCUGUAGCUGUGUCUUUGCAGUCAGAGAACCAUACUCUUGAUGACACGAGCACCGCGGCAAAUGUUCCUUGUCCAACCAGGACUGAGCUCGGAGCUGGUGUUGUUGACGACGUUGUGCAAGGAGAGGAAAGAGAGGAUGAGGUUGGUUCUCAGCCCAUGGAACCCUAUACUGGCAUGAGGUUUGGCAGUCUUUAA